GCCUUCGUGGUGUAGUGGUCAGCACGCUCGACGCGUAACCGAGAGGUCCAUGGUUCGAUUCCAGGCGAAGGCG
Molecule: transfer RNA, 73 nt
Filed under: Stegodyphus mimosarum
Lineage: Eukaryota; Metazoa; Arthropoda; Arachnida; Araneae; Eresidae
Description: tRNA-Thr for anticodon CGU
Rfam family: tRNA
About the family: Transfer RNA (tRNA) molecules are approximately 80 nucleotides in length.
Source: Rfam by way of RNAcentral